RNAcentral lists this unclassified non-coding RNA (336 nucleotides) under uncultured Glomeraceae. RNAcentral's name for it is "sequence contains 18S rRNA gene". The record is from RNAcentral. Lineage: Eukaryota; Fungi; Glomeromycota; Glomeromycetes; Glomerales; Glomeraceae.
CCCAACUAUCCCUAUUAAUCAUUACGUUGAUCCUAGAAACCAACAAAAUAGGAUCGAACGUCCUAUUUCAUUAUUCCAUGCUAAUGUAUUCAAGCUAAUGCCUGCUUUAAACACUCUAAUUUUUUCAAAGUAACAGUCCUAACUCCCCAUAACACCAAAUUAAUGACAUCAUGGUUCGUCAGAAAGGAGAAACCAAUGACGCCAGUGCGUACCAAAAAAGCACGACCGACGUAUUGAUCCCGAAAUUCAACUACGAGCUUUUUAACUGCAACAACUUUAAUAUACGCUAUUGGAGCUGGAAUUACCGCGGCUGCUGGCACCAGACUUGCCCUCCAA